GUGCCCGGACCCUGCCGCACCACGAGGCGCUGUUGGCGAGUCGGGUUGUUUGGGAAUGCAGCCCCAAUCGGGCGGUAAAUUCCGUCUAAGGCUAAAUACGGGCGAGAGACCGAUAGCAAACAAGUACCGCGAGGGAAAGAUGAAAAGGACUUUGAAAAGAGAGUCAAAGAGUGCUUGAAAUUGUCGGGAGGGAAGCGGAUGGGGCCCGGUGAUGCGCCCCGGUCGGAUGUGGAACGGCGAGAGCCGGUCCGCCGAUCAGCUCGGGGCGCAGACCAGCGCGGAUUGAGGCGGCGGCCAAAGCCCGGGCAGUCGAUAUGCCCGCGGAACGCCGUCGCCCCGAUCGUGGCGGACAGCGCGCGCCCACGGCGUGCCUCGGCAACUGCGCGCUCCCGGCGCUGGCCAGCGGGCUCCCCAUUCGACCCGUCAUGAAACACGGACCAAGGAGUCUGACAUGUGUGCGAGUCAACGGGCGAGCAAACCCGUAAGGCGUAAGGAAGCUGACCGGCGCGAUCCCCCCCGAGGG
Sesamum indicum (sesame) is the source of this 523-nucleotide ribosomal RNA. The record is from RefSeq and is a predicted model, not a curated record. NCBI's taxonomy places the organism in Eukaryota, Viridiplantae, Streptophyta, Magnoliopsida, Lamiales, Pedaliaceae.